UUAUACGGGAGGCAGCAGUGGGGAAUAUUGCACAAUGGGCGCAAGCCUGAUGCAGCCAUGCCGCGUGUAUGAAGAAGGCCUUCGGGUUGUAAAGUACUUUCAGCGGGGAGGAAGGCGAUGUGGUUAAUAACCGCGUCGAUUGACGUUACCCGCAGAAGAAGCACCGGCUAACUCCGUGCCAGCAGCCGCGG
RNAcentral lists this ribosomal RNA (191 nucleotides) under uncultured Pantoea sp. RNAcentral describes it as "partial 16S ribosomal RNA". It matches the Rfam family "Bacterial small subunit ribosomal RNA", at positions 337 to 520 of the family's 1533-position model. The record is from RNAcentral. Lineage: Bacteria; Pseudomonadati; Pseudomonadota; Gammaproteobacteria; Enterobacterales; Erwiniaceae.